GUUAAAAGAAAAAGUUUGGUUACCCACUCAACAGAUCAAUUCUUCUCCUUGUGUAAUUCUUACUGUGAACCUCUCUUCUCCCUUUGAUUACAGGAAGAAUCAAAGCUCUGAUAUGUAUAUUAGCUCUUGAACUACCUUCUUUUGCUCUGGCAAGAUGUGCAAGAUUGCUAGUUUCCAGCAAGUUUUAAAGGAGCCUCAUCACAGGAUUCAAGAAGUGCAGACAUAAAGGCUGGGAGGAAUAGGAGGAAAUUAUCUGCCUAGCCUGCUUGUGUUGAGGCAGGAGGAGCUGGAGCUUUCUCCACUUCUGACAUUGGUAUGAAAGAACUCUGAAAAAAAGCUUGAAACUGUCCUGAGCGUGACCAAAUCUCAGCAAUGAAAAAAGCUGCAUGAAGGCAAAAAGACUGAGGCAGGUGCAGGAAAUAAAGGCACAUAUCACAACAGCUCCUCUUCUUCUGCCCAGCUGGAAGGAGAAUUACACAAAAGUCUCUGAACCCACACUUCAAUUCUUAUGACAAGAAAAAAGGAUUGGAAAGAUUCUGUUUCCCUGGUCUUACGAAAUGGCUUCCUUGGAGCUCUUUUGCAAUUUGGUCCUUGAAAAAAAAAAUUUCAAUGAACACAAAUGACUCAGAGGAUAAGCUUUGAAUCACACACUGAGACUUACUCUCCUUACAUGACCUACAAUAGUUUCAAUCCUUUUAUGGAUAAUAAACAAUUUUCAAAGGGAAUAUGAUUUAUCAUUUAAAGGUAUAAACAAGAAAAAGUGCCUGUUCUUCACUUUAAGUGCAUCUUUCAUCAGUUAAGCAACAACAAUUCCAAAAAUUAUGAUGGCAAUUAGAUGGCAGCUAUUACUGUUAGUAUAAUUUUCCUUGUCAGUAUUUUAUAAAGCAUGUUUGUAUGUUGACAUCAGUACUGUUGACACCACCUUCAGACUAUGUCAGUAAGACUAGUCAUGAAAAAUCAUGAACUAUUAAAUAACAUCAACUACUGGCAGUGAAUACAUGCAUAUAUUUUGCUAAUUUAUUGUACGUUUCACAUAUAUAAAUGGAAUAAAAACAGAAAUAAUUAUUUCAUGUCAAUAAAAU
This 1082-nucleotide long non-coding RNA is filed under the name Cairina moschata (Muscovy duck). RNAcentral describes it as "domestica (muscovy Duck (domestic type)) lncRNA (ENSCMMG00000008058.1)". Lineage: Eukaryota; Metazoa; Chordata; Aves; Anseriformes; Anatidae. The record is from RNAcentral.